CCUACGGGUGGCAGCAGUGAGGAAUAUUGGUCAAUGGCCGGAAGGCUGAACCAGCCAAGUCGCGUGAGGGACGACUGCCCUAUGGGUUGUAAACCUCUUUUAUAAGGGAAGAAUAAAUGCUACGUGUAGCAUGAUGCCUGUACCUUAUGAAUAAGCAUCGGCUAACUCCGUGCCAGCAGCCGCGGUAAUACGGAGGAUGCGAGCGUUAUCCGGAUUUAUUGGGUUUAAAGGGUGCGUAGGCGGAACAUUAAGUCAGCGGUAAAAUCGAGGGGCUCAACCCCUUUAAGCCGUUGAAACUGGUGAUCUUGAGUGGGCGAGAAGUAUGCGGAAUGCGUGGUGUAGCGGUGAAAUGCAUAGAUAUCACGCAGAACUCCGAUUGCGAAGGCAGCAUACCGGCGCCCGACUGACGCUGAGGCACGAAAGCGUGGGGAUCGAACAGGAUUAGAUACCCUUGUAGUC
This 459-nucleotide ribosomal RNA is filed under the name uncultured bacterium. Its description in RNAcentral is "partial 16S ribosomal RNA". It matches the Rfam family "Bacterial small subunit ribosomal RNA", at positions 338 to 795 of the family's 1533-position model. The record is from RNAcentral.